Gongylonema pulchrum is the source of this 174-nucleotide non-coding RNA. Lineage: Eukaryota; Metazoa; Nematoda; Chromadorea; Rhabditida; Gongylonematidae. The record is from Rfam.
AAAAAUCAGCUGGCCUGGACACCGUGAGGAUUGACAGAUCGAGAGCUCUUUCUUGAUUCGGCGGGUUGAUGGUGCAUGACCGUUCUUAGGUGGUGGAGUGAUUUGUCUGGUUUAUUCCGAUAACGAGCGAAAUCUCUAGCCUAAUAAACAGUUACGGGAUUAUUUAUGUCCAGC